AACAAAAUUAACAAAGAUAUUUUAAAUAUUAAAGAACGAAGAAGACGACUUAUUAUUUGAGUUUUCUACUAAGAAGGACUAGAGUUAGUACACAAAAUGGUCACCUUUUAGUAAAAAAAUAAAGACUAAAUAUUUUUUAAAUCCUAUUUACAAGAAAAUGAGUUACAUAAACUUGAAUAAAUAUUUGGAUGGAUAUACUGAAAGAGCUCUCGAACAUUCAUUUGGGUUUGAUCCCAUUUCUUUCUAGUACUAAUUCGGAUUGUUGUCCACCCAUAUUCGGAGUGUUGUGGUGGUUUAGAUCAUUUAUUGCUCUGAAUUUGUAUUCAUUACCAUGUUUAUCUAGUACUUGUAACAUUAAUUAAGAAGUGGCCUCCUUAUGUUUCCACCAUUUCUUCAACUCUAUCUCUUUCUAAUCGCCUUGUUUUUAUUUUGUUCUCUUGAUCUCUCCCAAAUCUCAUCAUCUCCUACCGCCGAUUUCACUUCUCAAGGAAAUUAGGGAUGAUUAAGCCUAAUUUUAGACAAGUAGUCUGGAGAGGAGAAGCUGAAGAGUUAUCAUUGCUGAUUAACAUCUCGAUCAUUCUCUUUUGUCCAAGGGUUACGUUAAGGCUCAAGAUUGAGGAUCGUGCUCGGGACCGCUCUUUAUCUAUUGCUCGGGACUUGAGAUGAAGGCAAAGGAAAGUUGGACCAACCAUGAGUUGGAGAGCUCUGGGGGCGGAGUGUACAUUGUCAACUGCUCGACUGCCACGACCGGGGGAAUUUACAGGAAUUAGAGCUCUAAACUGUAUUUUUCCAUUAGACUAUCUUUUGUUGUAUCAGUCUUUGAGAGUUGUAUUUGUCAUGUAAACCUUGUUUCUGGGAUCUCAUGUAUCAAACACUUGUUUUAAUGAAAAUUAACCGUUUAGGAUCAAAAUCUUUUAACCCUAACCUAUUAGUUGACUUUAGAUUCACAUUUAUGUUCAAAUGACUUGAUUAGCAAGUCUUGCACUAUUUUAAACGCAUAGUGUAACGGUCUUGGUUAUCUAGGGCGUUACAAAUUGGUAUCAGAGCCAUAUAGGUUUAAGGGUUCCUGAAGACUGGCUGGGCAUGUACACUCCCCGCUAAAGACAAGCUCGACUUAGGGUUUGGUAACUAUAUAUGUGUGAUUAUAUGCUUAAUGUUUAAGUGAAAUGUAAAUGCUUUAUUUGCAUGAUUAAUUAGGAGCAUGAGAUAUAUUGAUAGGGCCUGACCCUUGAUUACUAUGUGGAUAUGUUAAGGCUUGCGUAUUAGCAUUGCUAUUGUAUAUGAAUAAUUGUUUAAA
Molecule: long non-coding RNA, 1297 nt
Organism: Humulus lupulus (European hop)
Lineage: Eukaryota; Viridiplantae; Streptophyta; Magnoliopsida; Rosales; Cannabaceae
Exons: 3
Source: RefSeq, a predicted model, not a curated record